UUUGAUUUAACCAGACCAUUAGAUUUGACGUUAGGCCAAUGUUAACUGUUAACUAGCAUGAAAUGGCUAGAAAAUGAGCUUAAGUUACCAAUGUACUAAAGCGUAACGUUAAUCAGUUUUAAAUGUUGUACAUCUAGGCUACAUAGCAAUUUAUUUGGUGACUGUUUGCAGGCAAACCUGCCUAUGAAAUGUUGGAGUGUGAUCCUGACUGGGCCUGGGAUAUGUGGUGCCUUGUGAGGGGGAGGAUAAGUAUGGGCUGAAAUAUGUGCCACCAGAAACUGAAUUUGAACCCUUUAUAUUUGAAUUUGAAUGGCUAAACUUGAAUAAUUGCAUUGAAAAACUGAAUUUGAAUCACAUAAUUUGAAAUUGUAUUGUUUAAUUAAAACUGAAUUUAUUCAAAAACUGAAUCUGAAUUGUAUCAUUUGAAAUUGAAUUUAUUCGUUUGGAACUGAAGUCCAAUAAAAUUUGAUCCUCACUGAAAAUUAAACUCUCUAUAUAUCUUCACAUUCACUUCUCACAAUUCAGAUUCAGUUCUCAAAUUCAAUUUCAAGUUACUGAGACAGACAUCCGGGUAGUUGGAGGAUGAAGGAAGAGCAAUCGAGCGCAGAUCGAUAGAUAGCGUUCAUUGGCGCACAGGACUCCUCUUGGGCCAAUCAGCACCAAUGUUUUGGAGCACAGGGCGUUACCCGCCAUGAAACAAAGAAGUGCUUGCCUGACUUGCGUGACCACCACCAUGGAUUCGGCUGGGACAAAUACGAUUCCUGCUGCUCCAGUAGCUCUGAUCGACUUCUCUGCUAAAGCCAAAAAAAAAAAGCUUGACCGUUCUAUUGAUGGCAGGACAACUGAAAACCAGUUAUGGAUGCAAACAUGAAGCACAAGCCAGAGGAGUCUAUGAGAAGCUGAUGGGUCGGGAGCAUGCAGGCUUCUCCUGUAUGGACAGUGGUCUCUGGCUGAACCCCAAGUGGCCAUACAUGGGGUCCU
Molecule: long non-coding RNA, 981 nt
Organism: Xyrauchen texanus (razorback sucker)
Lineage: Eukaryota; Metazoa; Chordata; Actinopteri; Cypriniformes; Catostomidae
Exons: 3
Source: RefSeq, a predicted model, not a curated record